GUAGCGGUCACCGCAAGGUUUUCUGUCGGAUUCGACAGAACAGACUUCAGCGUUGUGCCUGGCACAGCGCAACCGGCACUGCCGGAUUUUGCUAACCCGCUGGUGAAGACACCAGC
This is a regulatory RNA element of Pseudomonas taeanensis MS-3, 116 nucleotides long. It matches the Rfam family "Pseudomon-groES RNA". Lineage: Bacteria; Pseudomonadati; Pseudomonadota; Gammaproteobacteria; Pseudomonadales; Pseudomonadaceae. The record is from Rfam.